GACGAACGCUGGCGGCGUGCUUAACACAUGCAAGUCGAACGAGAGCGGAGGGAGCUUUCCUCUAAUCAUCCUAGUGGCCAAAGGGGGGGUUACGGGGAAUCCACCUUCCCCUUCAAGGGGGACCAACAGUGGAAAAGAACUCCUAAUCCGCAUUCCAUCUUAACCUGGCCACGGGGAAUAGAGAAAGGUGGGCCUCUACAUUAAGCCAACAACUAAGGGGGGGAAUUGCGUCUGAUUAGCUAGUUGGAGGGGUAACGGCCCACCAAGGCGAUGAUCAGUAGCCGGUCUGAGAGGAUGAACGGCCACAUUGGGACUGAGACACGGCCCAGACUCCUACGGGAGGCAGCAGUGGGGAAUCUUCCGCAAUGGACGAAAGUCUGACGGAGCAACGCCGCGUGAGUGAUGACGGCCUUCGGGUUGUAAAGCUCUGUUAAUCGGGACGAAAGGCCUUCUUGCGAAUAGUGAGAAGGAUUGACGGUACCGGAAUAGAAAGCCACGGCUAACUACGUG
This 510-nucleotide ribosomal RNA is filed under the name uncultured bacterium. RNAcentral's name for it is "partial 16S ribosomal RNA". It matches the Rfam family "Bacterial small subunit ribosomal RNA", at positions 28 to 507 of the family's 1533-position model. The record is from RNAcentral.